UACGGAAGGCAGCAGUGGGGAAUAUUGCACAAUGGGCGAAAGCCUGAUGCAGCUAUGCCGCGUGUAUGAAGAAGGCCUUAGGGUUGUAAAGUACUUUCAUCGGGGAGGAAAAACAAAACUAAUAAUUUUAUUUCUUGACGUUACCCGAAAAAGAAGCACCGGCUAACUCCGUGCCAGCAGCCGCGGUAAUACGGAGGGUGCUAGCGUUAAUCAGAAUUACUGGGCGUAAAGAGCACGUAGGUGGUUUUUUUAAGUCAGAUGUGAAAUCCCUGGGCUUAACCUGGAACUGCAUUUUGAAACUGAAAUACUAGAGUAUCGUAGAGGGAGGUAGAAUUCUAGGUGUAGCGGUGAAAUGCGUAGAUAUCUGGAGGAAUACCUGUGGCGAAAGCGGCCUCCUAAACGAAUACUGACGCUGAGGUGCGAAAGCGUGGGGAGCAAACAGGGAUUAGAUACC
Molecule: ribosomal RNA, 454 nt
Filed under: uncultured bacterium
Lineage: Bacteria
Description: bacterial SSU rRNA
Rfam family: Bacterial small subunit ribosomal RNA
Source: RNAcentral